UACAUCCUAUCCUGUUCGUGAUGAGCCUUUUUAUUCCUACAUUUAUAAUACGGGAUGACAGCUCUCAAAGUGAAUUGCAGGCCUCCCGCGCGUUUUCUGCGCUGCGGACGUUGGAAGCAGCGAAGCUAUGAGGAAUCGACCCACCUGCAAAUGUGCAGGGUUAUAAAUGGGCACACACGGCAGGACGGGGACAUU
This 195-nucleotide non-coding RNA is filed under the name Oscillospiraceae bacterium. Its description in RNAcentral is "6S RNA". It matches the Rfam family "6S / SsrS RNA". From Rfam's summary of the family: E. coli 6S RNA was the first non coding RNA to be sequenced, but its function was unknown until recently. It consists of 184 nucleotides that fold into an extended hairpin structure with a large single-stranded internal bulge. The 6S RNA specifically associates with RNA polymerase holoenzyme containing the sigma70 specificity factor. The record is from RNAcentral. Lineage: Bacteria; Bacillati; Bacillota; Clostridia; Eubacteriales; Oscillospiraceae.